AUAGCAACAGCAGCGUAGCUGAACAUCUUACGGAUGGCCCAGGGCUCCAAAGGCUCGUUUCCUAAGUGAGAGAGAGCCUGGCUGAAGCUGUAUUACCAUUCAUUCUCCAGCCUCCGAAGUCUCAAAGCAUCACUUCCACCAUACUCUAACUGUCAAGACAAACACAAAGGCCCAGAGAAGGGGUCUCACUAUGUUGUCUGGAGUGCAGUGGCUGGAGUGGAGUGGCUAUUCACAGGAUUCUUGGAAUGGACUGUAAAAGUGUGGAGUCAAGACUUUGUGUUUCCUCUCUAACAUGUAAAGAGCUUAGAAGUUGUCGCUAUUGCCCUUACAACAAAAUGAAGCUGGACAAACUGAAAAUCAAUGACUUUUCUUGGACUCACUAUAGAGCUGAGUUUGCAGAGUAAACCACUACCCUGAAAUCUGGAAAGGCAGGUGCACCCAUAGAUCCUCAGCUGAGAUCCAAUUACCUGAAAUAGAAGCUGCCAUUAGGAACACUUAAAAG
Molecule: long non-coding RNA, 502 nt
Filed under: Pan troglodytes (chimpanzee)
Lineage: Eukaryota; Metazoa; Chordata; Mammalia; Primates; Hominidae
Description: lincRNA
Source: RNAcentral